GAUCUUUUAUUCAAAUGAUGAUUUUAAAUUGCAAAUUUAAAGGUACUUAAUAUAGUUUAGAUUU
Molecule: transfer RNA, 64 nt
Filed under: Bambusiphaga luodianensis
Lineage: Eukaryota; Metazoa; Arthropoda; Insecta; Hemiptera; Delphacidae
Description: tRNA-Cys
Source: RNAcentral